Molecule: long non-coding RNA, 201 nt
Filed under: Manihot esculenta (cassava)
Lineage: Eukaryota; Viridiplantae; Streptophyta; Magnoliopsida; Malpighiales; Euphorbiaceae
Description: long non-coding RNA (MESC_LNC007288)
Source: RNAcentral
AUCCAAUAUCACAGACCAUUGAUUAUGGGGCAUUUAAUCACUGCCAUUGCAGUGAAUCUGAAAUUACUACACCCAACACACACUGACCUCACCCCCACUAACAAACCAACCCCCCUGGACCUUCAAACUUUGGAUGAUAUGGGGUUGCUUUGCAAAGUGGGGGACAUUUUUUCCAUUUCACCUGCAGGACCCCUCACACCA